RNAcentral lists this ribosomal RNA (528 nucleotides) under uncultured bacterium. RNAcentral describes it as "bacterial SSU rRNA". It matches the Rfam family "Bacterial small subunit ribosomal RNA", at positions 472 to 996 of the family's 1533-position model. The record is from RNAcentral.
ACGGUACCUGCAGAGAAGCACCGGCUAACCUACGUGCCAGCAGCCGCGGUAAUACGUAGGGUGCGAGCGUUGUCCGGAAUUAUUGGGCGUAAAGAGCUUGUGGCGGUUUGUCGCGUCUGCAGUGAAAAUCCGGGGCUCAACCCCGGACUUGCUGUGGGUACGGGGCAGACUAGAGUGUGGUAGGGGAGACCGGAAUUCCUGGUGUAGCGGUGGAAUGCGCAGAUAUCAGGAGGAACACCGAUGGCGAAGGCAGGUCUCUGGGCCACAACUGACGCUGAGAAGCGAAAGCAUGGGGAGCGAACAGGAUUAGAUACCCUGGUAGUCCAUGCCGUAAACGUUGGGCGCUAGGUGUGGGGCUCAUUCCACGAGCUCCGUGCCGCAGCUAACGCAUUAAGCGCCCCGCCUGGGGAGUACGGCCGCAAGGCUAAAAACUCAAAGGAAUUGACGGGGGCCCGCACAAGCGGCGGAGCAUGCGGAUUAAUUCGAUGCAACGCGAAGAACCUUACCAAGGCUUGACAUAUACCGGAA